CUGGCUCAGGACGAACGCUGGCGGCGUGCCUAAUACAUGCAAGUCGAACGGUCUUUCUAUGGAAGCUUGCUUCCGCUGAGAAGAUAGUGGCGAACGGGUGAGUAACACGUGGGUAACCUGCCCAUAAGAGGGGGGAUAACAUCCGGAAACGGGUGCUAAUACCGCAUAGUUUUCUUGAUCGCAUGAUCGGGAAAGGAAAGACGGCCUUUGUGCUGUCGCUUAUGGAUGGACCCGCGGCGUAUUAGUUAGUUGGUGAGGUAACGGCUCACCAAGACGAUGAUACGUAGCCGACCUGAGAGGGUGAUCGGCCACAUUGGGACUGAGACACGGCCCAAACUCCUACGGGAGGCAGCAGUAGGGAAUCUUCCGCAAUGGACGAAAGUCUGACGGAGCAACGCCGCGUGAGUGAAGAAAGGUUUUCGGAUCGUAAAACUCUGUUGUCAGAGAAGAACAAGUUGGAGAGUAACUGCUCCAGCCUUGACGGUAUCUGACCAGAAAGCCACGGCUAACUACGUGCCAGCAGCCGC
Molecule: ribosomal RNA, 527 nt
Filed under: uncultured bacterium
Lineage: Bacteria
Description: bacterial SSU rRNA
Rfam family: Bacterial small subunit ribosomal RNA
Source: RNAcentral